CUAAAACACUGAUGAAACACUUGUAACUUGAUUUUAGUCACUUAAUUUACUACCAAAAUUCUGAAACUCUUCACCUCUCUUAAUUUAAAAAUCUAAAUUUUCGUAUGUACUUCCCAUUUUCAAAAUUCUCUGUAAAGACGUUAAUAGCCUGUGACGCUGAAUGUCUUAAAAUAUACUAACUAACUAUUUUCAACAUGAAAAAAGAGCAGGUCUCAGUGAAUCUCUCGUGUGUUUGGUCGUCGAUUCAACUUGUUUGUUUUACUCCAGGAUUCUCCGCUCCAACACAGCUCCUUUGUGCAUGAUAAACCUUUGUUUACUAUGGAUCUCAUAUUUCCUGUUGGUUGGGAGCAGGUCAGCCAGAGCCAUGACGCCUCGAUAUCGGCUCCCUGGUGACGUCAUUCCUGAGCACUAUAACAUUAGUAUCUUAACGAAUUUAGACGACAACGAUUUCACCUACCACGGAAGAGUCACUAUCAAGUUAAAAUGUAUUCGAGCCACAAGCAAAAUCGUCCUGCACGCAUACACACUGACAAUAGGAACGGACGUGUUGCGGUGUCGGAAGCGCGAUCUGAAGGGGCUCCCAAACCGCAGCACAUCAAAAUCACAAAUUCUAGCUACGACACGGUGAAUGAGUUUUUCAUCGCCGAAACGAACAAGCCUCUGCAGCCAAACCGCACUUACAUAUACGAUAUACCUUACAAAGGCACACUGAACACCCACCUGUGGGGAUUUUACCGGUCGAGUUAUCUGGAUCAGAAAUCUAAUGAAACAAGAUGGCUGGCUGUAACCCCAAUUUUCUCCGAUCCACGCUCGGAAAGCUUUUCCAUGUUUUGACGAGCCUGCAAUGAAAGCAACAUUUUCAAUAAGUUUAAUUCACGACAAAAAAUACACAGCUUUAAGCAACAUGCGGUCAAACACACGUCUGUACUGUAAGUAUAGUCGAAAAGCGAUCAUAAAAUUUAUUUUUAUGAUUUUCAAAUGAAAGAAAGAAUAAG
This 995-nucleotide long non-coding RNA is filed under the name Bemisia tabaci. RNAcentral describes it as "lncRNA ENSSWEETPG007389". Lineage: Eukaryota; Metazoa; Arthropoda; Insecta; Hemiptera; Aleyrodidae. The record is from RNAcentral.